This 1225-nucleotide unclassified non-coding RNA is filed under the name Hevea brasiliensis (rubber tree). Lineage: Eukaryota; Viridiplantae; Streptophyta; Magnoliopsida; Malpighiales; Euphorbiaceae. The record is from RNAcentral.
GGUUCUUCCCUUCACUACAACUGUGCACCCUUGUGCAAUUACAGCUCCAAGGUUGGUUGUGAAAAUGUCUGCAAUGGCCACCAAGAAUGCAGGUAGAACAGUGGAGUCAUUAGUAGUGAAGCCACCAGCACACCCCACUUAUGAUUUAAAGGGUGUUAUUCAACUUGCCCUCUCUGAAGAUGCUGGGGAUUUAGGAGAUGUGUCUUGUAAGGCGACAAUUCCUGUUGACUUGGAAUCCGAAGCUUACUUUAUAGCAAAGGAAGAUGGGAUUGUAGCAGGAAUUGCACUUGCUGAGAUGAUAUUCGCGGAAGUUGAUCCUUUACUAAAGGUGGAGUGGUUUGUAAAGGAUGGUGAUAAAGUUCAUAAAGGCUUGAAAUUUGGCAAAGUACAAGGAAAGGCUCACAACAUUGUUAUAGCUGAGAGGGUGGUUCUUAAUUUUAUGCAAAGAAUGAGUGGAAUAGCUACGCUAACUAAGGCAAUGGCAUAUGCUGCACACCCUGCUUACAUAUUGGAGACUAGGAAGACGGCUCCAGGAUUGCGUUUGGUGGAUAAAUGGGCGGUGUUGAUCGGUGGGGGUAAGAAUCACAGAAUGGGAUUAUUUGAUAUGGUAAUGAUAAAAGACAAUCACAUAUCUGCUGCUGGAGGUGUCAGCAAAGCUCUAGAAUCUGUGGAUCAGUAUUUGGAGCAAAAUAAACUGCAAAUGGGGGUUGAGGUUGAAACCAGGACUCUUGCAGAAGUACAUGAGGUUCUAGAAUAUGCAGCUCAAACAAAGACUUCAUUGACUAGGAUAAUGCUGGACAAUAUGGUUAUUCCAUUAUCUAACGGGGAUGUUGAGGUAUCCAUGCUUAAGGAAGCUGUAGAUUUGAUUAAGGGGAGGUUUGAGACCGAGGCGUCAGGAAAUGUUACCCUUGAAACAGUGCACGCGAUUGGACAAACUGGUGUUACCUACAUUUCUAGCGGUGCCUUAACACAUUCUGUGAAAGCACUUGACAUUUCUCUGAAAAUCGACACAGAGCUCGCCCUUGAAGUUGGACGACGUACAAAACGAGCAUGAUCAUUGAUUAUACUUUGUUGUAGACUCAAAAGUGUAGAAGCAGCAGUAUAGCACAAUGUGAAAAUAAGAUUCAUUGUAUGCUAAUUCAGAGUACCACUGUUCAAUCAGACAAAAAGAUAUAAGUUUCACCUAUAGCUUGCUGUCAUAAUUCAUAAAUUGGUUACAAUGAAG